GGCGAGUGAAGCGGGAACAGCUCAAAUUUGAAAUCUGGCCCUUGGGUCCGAGUUGUAAUUUGCAGAGGAUGCUUUUGGUGCGGUGCCUUCCGAGUUCCCUGGAACGGGACGCCUUAGAGGGUGAGAGCCCCGUACGGUUGGACACCAAGCCUAUGUAAAGCUCCUUCGACGAGUCGAGUAGUUUGGGAAUGCUGCUCAAAAUGGGAGGUAUAUUUCUUCUAAAGCUAAAUAUUGGCCAGAGACCGAUAGCGCACAAGUAGAGUGAUCGAAAGAUGAAAAGCACUUUGAAAAGAGGGUUAAAUAGCACGUGAAAUUGUUGAAAGGGAAGGAUUUAUGACCAGACUUUUUCUAGGGGAAUCAUCCGGUGUUCUCACCGGUGCACUUCCCCUAGUUGAGGCCAGCAUCGGUUUCUGUCGAGGGAUAAAAGCUUUAGGAAUGUGGCACCCUCCGGGGUGUGUUAUAGCCUGUUGCAUAAUACCUUGACGGGGACCGAGGUUCGCGCAUUGCAAGGAUGCUGGCGUAAUGGUUAUUAAUCACCCGUCUUGAAACACGGACCAAGGAGUCGAACAUUUGUGCGAGUGUUUGGGUGUUAAACCCUCACGCGUAAUGAAAGUGAACGGAGGUGAGAGCCUUUAGGGGUGCAUCAUCGACCGAUCCUGAUGUCUUCGGAUGGAUUUGAGUAAGAGCAUAACUGUUCGGACCCGAAAGAUGGUGAACUAUGCGUGGAUAGGGUGAAGCCAGAGGAAACUCUGGUGGAGGCUCGCAGCGGUUCUGACGUGCAAAUCGAUCGUCAAAUCUGCGCAUGGGGGCGAAAGACUAAUCGAACCAUUGACCAGCGGUCAAAACAAUCACUAGGUGGUUAAGAGGGGGUCCGCGAGGACCAUUUGAAAAACCUAGGUUGUGUCCGGUUACCCUGUAGGCUACCCUGUAGCUUACCCGGUAGCCGGUCCGGCCGACACCGCUAAAAUGCGGGGACAUCCCUUUACAGGGCCAAAGGCUACCGCCACGCGCUGAAAAGCGUGCUGGCACCGAGGAUAGUGACCUCGGGUACGGUAAUAACGCCUGCGGCUGGGACGACCUGCAGCCAACCCCGCCUAGGGGAGAGUUCACAGACUAAACAGCGGUGGGUUGGCAGUGCCUUUCGGGGCCUGCCAGCCUAAGAUAUAGUCGA
Molecule: ribosomal RNA, 1171 nt
Filed under: Apiospora jiangxiensis
Lineage: Eukaryota; Fungi; Ascomycota; Sordariomycetes; Amphisphaeriales; Apiosporaceae
Description: eukaryotic LSU rRNA
Rfam family: Eukaryotic large subunit ribosomal RNA
Source: RNAcentral